GGGGAAUAUUGCACAAUGGGGGAAACCCUGAUGCAGCAACGCCGCGUGAGUGAAGAAGUAUUUCGGUAUGUAAAGCUCUAUCAGCAGGGAAGAUAAUGACGGUACCUGACUAAGAAGCUCCGGCUAAAUACGUGCCAGCAGCCGCGGUAAUACGUAUGGAGCAAGCGUUAUCCGGAUUUACUGGGUGUAAAGGGUGCGUAGGUGGCAGUGCAAGUCAGAUGUGAAAGGCCGGGGCUCAACCCCGGAGCUGCAUUUGAAACUGCAUAGCUAGAGUACAGGAGAGGCAGGCGGAAUUCCUAGUGUAGCGGUGAAAUGCGUAGAUAUUAGGAGGAACACCAGUGGCGAAGGCGGCCUGCUGGACUGUUACUGACACUGAGGCACGAAAGCGUGGGGAGCAGAC
This 400-nucleotide ribosomal RNA is filed under the name uncultured bacterium. RNAcentral's name for it is "bacterial SSU rRNA". It matches the Rfam family "Bacterial small subunit ribosomal RNA", at positions 356 to 773 of the family's 1533-position model. The record is from RNAcentral.